RNAcentral lists this ribosomal RNA (848 nucleotides) under Pseudevernia furfuracea. RNAcentral's name for it is "eukaryotic LSU rRNA". It matches the Rfam family "Eukaryotic large subunit ribosomal RNA", at positions 71 to 936 of the family's 3401-position model. The record is from RNAcentral. Lineage: Eukaryota; Fungi; Ascomycota; Lecanoromycetes; Lecanorales; Parmeliaceae.
GGGAUUGCCUCAGUAACGGCGAGUGAAGCGGCAACAGCUCAAAUUUGAAAUCUGGCCCUUUCGGGGUCCGAGUUGUAAUUUAUAGAGAGUGUUUCGGGUGAGAUCACGGUCUAAGUCCAUUGGAACAUGGCGUCAUAGAGGGUGAGAAUCCCGUAUGUGACUGUGGAUCGAUCCCAUGUGAAGCCUCUUCGACGAGUCGAGUUGUUUGGGAAUGCAGCUCAAAAUGGGUGGUAAAUUUCAUCUAAAGCUAAAUACUGGCUGGAGACCGAUAGCGCACAAGUAGAGUGAUCGAAAGAUGAAAAGCACUUUGGAAAGAGAGUCAAACAGUACGUGAAAUUGUUGAAAGGGAAGCGCUUGCAACCAGACCUGUCCGUAGGUGAUCAGCCGCUGUUCUCAGUGGUGCACUCGCUCUGCGAUCAGGCCAGCAUCGGUUUCGGCGGUCGGAUAAAGGCCUUGGGAAUGUAGCUCCUCCCGGGGAGUCUUAUAGCCCUCGGUGCAAUGCGGCCAGCCGGGACCGAGGACCGCGCUUCGGCUAGGAUGCUGGCGUAAUGGUUGUAAGCGACCCGUCUUGAAACACGGACCAAGGAGUCUAACAUCUAUGCGAGUGUUUGGGUGUCAAACCCAUGCGCGGAAUGAAAGUGAACGGAGGUGAGAACCCUCAAGGGCGCAUCAUCGACCGAUCCAGAUGUCUUCGGAUGGAUUUGAGUAUGAGCAUAGCUGUUGGGACCCGAAAGAUGGUGAACUAUGCCUGAAUAGGGUGAAGCCAGAGGAAACUCUGGUGGAGGCUCGCAGCGGUUCUGACGUGCAAAUCGAUCGUCAAAUUUGGGUAUAGGGGCGAAAGACUAAUC